CAGGGUCGAGGCGACGAUGUGGCGCCCAGCACAGGUGCAGAGGCAGCGCUGCCAGCAGCCUGGGUCCCCAGAGCAGCCGGGAAGGUGGCAAGACCUUGUUUAAAAAGUAGCUGCAUGGGCCAAAAAGAGAAGCAAACAACCAAGCAGUGUCAGAAGUUCCAAAUCCCCUGCCACGUUUUGCUGCUGCUUGCGCAGUUGAAGAGAAGGAAAAGCAAGGAGAAAAUUUGUGAAUAAGAAAUGUCACUUAGACCUGAAUGGAAGAGAUUUGGCAAAAAAUAUAGGUGAUGCAGCACUUCCAGAAAAGACAAUCACAGAGGGCUGCUAGGCAAUUUGAAGAUGUCCGUGGGGAGAUGGUAUCAAAGACACUGCGAGCUCUAAAAUUAACAUCAAAAAUGAUGUAUCCAGAAGAAAGACUUUGUACCUACAACUGCUUUCACAGCUGCAAACCUUUUCUUUUAGAACAUUUUGUGUAUCUCAUGGCUAUGUUGUUUACAGCUUUUCUGCAAGUUUUUGUUUUUCCCCAUGGAAGCAACUGAAAAAAAAAAAACCCUUAAGUGUGCAUAUCUGUUCAAGUCUGGUUGGAUGUUACCCAGAAGCUGCUGGGUAAUGGGUUUUUGAGCCUAUGCAGUAAUUGUAACUCAUCACCAGUAUGUUAUGCAAGAUUGUGCAAAUAAUGGUUCCAUUUGAAGAAUUAUAGAAUUAUCCAAUCUUGUCAUCACUAAGUAAAAUUCUAAUUCAAAAUGCUGCAGUGAAUGGUAGCCCAGAUGUGCUCACUUAGUAUUGUCAAUCAAAUAUCAUCUGAGGCUAUUUAUCAGAGCAAAAAGACAAAGAGAGCAUCAAAAAUAAUUUUUGGACAGUUGUCAAAUUUCAUUCUUUUGAUCCUUUCAUAUGCUGUAGUUAAACACAAGCCUUAAAAAGUUCUUUACUUAGAAAAACAAAACUGAUUACAGAUCUUGUGUCUGUGAAUACAAUUUUAAUGAUUGCAUAAAAGAUUAAACCCAGAAAAGAAGUUUGUUUAAAAACAACUGCAGAAAACUCCAACAACAAAACCCCACAGCCUUUUCAACUCCAGGUGCUGCCAUAGAGGUUAUAUGAUCUGUUGAAUUUCUUUGUCUUUUGUACCUCUGAAAAGAUUCACAUUUUGUUUUAACAGUAACAGCUCGUAUUUGAGACAGCCUUGAAGUUUUUGAAUAGUUUAGUGUGUAGAAAAGUCAAGCUAUUUCCCCGGUAUAUUUGUGGGUGCAGAGCAGGCCCAGUAAGGUUCUGAGUGUCAGAGAAGCUGUUAAUAGCAAUUGAGUCUGACUUUUCCUGCUCAAGAGAAUUGGAGUAGAUGAUACAGAACACCAAAAGAAAGGGGAGUUUGGGUUUCUUCCAGAGGAAUAAAAAUGAGAAAAGGGUCUGGAUUCAGACAUUCACGUGUCAAAAAUCACCUGAAAUUCACUGGAUUCACUUCACUGGUAUCUCAGUAUCUUUUGAAUCUGGACCAAAAUCUAAGGGAGGUUGUAGUCGAUGAAAGGAAAAAUAGCAAGAUUAAGAACAGAUUAUUAAGAUGUCUUGAUUCCUAAGAUUUUGAUAUAAAAUUGUAUGUAUAACAUUAGUCAUUGCACCUUUCUCCCAGGAGAUACAGCCAGAAGGUGGUCUGCAUUUACCAGCACAUAUCACGUAUUUGUAUCUUCCUAGCCUUUCAUAAUUUGAAGUACUUUAUUACGUCCUUAGCAGGUGACAGCUGUUGAGUUUAGAUGCGAUGUUGACUUAAAAAAAUUCUCAGAAAGUUGUUUUGUUUUCAGCAAAGUACUUGUGCUGCUGAGAUGCAAAAUAACACCAUUUCGCUGAUAUUAGCAAAACAUUCAUACUUGGAAGAGCUCUUUCAAUCACAGUCACAUUAAGAAGCCUCUUCAGAGGCUGAAGUGAGUAGCUAACUACAUAUCUAUGUUUUAUUGGGUAGCACUUUCUACUUCCAUUUUUUUAUCACAAAAUAUUUAUCAGAUGGUGUGGAAGACUUGCAUGCCAAAAAGGAGGAACGUGGCAACUGGUUCUUUAUUUUUCCAAUACAAUAUUUUAUUUCUGAAUGUUUUGUAAAAACAGUAUUGUCUGCUGUUAUGCUACUCUGAUAGCAGUUUACUUGAGUACCGAAAUAACUAAACUGGACAAUCACUUCCUCUGACUAUAUGCAACUGACAGUUUAAAAAAAAAAAAUUAAAAAAAACCAUUAGUGUAGAGCCCUGUAGAAUGACAAUACAAAGUGAUUAAUUAUCUACACAGAAGAUUUUCAAAAUCAGUAAGGGACUUAGGAGAAGCAAUUGAACUGAAUGUUAAUGGCACUUAUAUUACUAAAUCUCUUGGGUGUUUUUGAAUGUUCAGUUUCUACAUGAAUGUGUUACAAAUAAUGCUGUUGGAAUAUUUGGAAAGACUUGUUUAUUUUACAGUUCUCCAUUUCAUGCGCACUGAUUCCUGUGGCUGUAAUUUGCUUUCCAAAUAUGUGUACGUCUUUAAUAUCCUUAAAGUCAGUUUAUUAUUUUGCCUUGCUAUUGCUUAAUCAACCUGGAGAUGUAAUUUUCUGGACAAACAUUGAUAUUACCCAUAGGAGACAGCUUUUUUCCCCCCCACUGCUGUGCUUUCAAGUUCUGUUCAUCUUGGCUGGACUUUGUGCCAUAAAGAGAUAUUUCCUGUCAAAUUUGAUAUUCUGUAUGAAAUGCUGCUCAAGAUGAGUAUCUCAUUGGCUAGAGGUACAACCGUAAAGUCUUUGUCUUCCUAAAAUAAGGAAGACUUUCAGUCCCAAUAUCUCAAGUUUACGUGGAGAUUAGUCUUGGGAACAGUUAGAUUGUUUCUCUAACUAGGCAGUGUGAUGUUUUGCUGAGCAUAUUCUGUUGGAGCUGUCAGCUUCCAGUAAAACUUGUAUUGUUGUGUGGUUUGAUGGAUUUUAGUUUUGCAGUUUUGUUUUAUUAGUUUUUACUCAAUGUUUUUACUCAAUUAGUGUUUAUUCAACUAUCUUUUUUCUCAGUGGCUAUGUUUGUAAAAUACCUAAGCUAUAUAUUUUGCUUGUAUCAGUGAACUCCAAGGAUAAUAAAAUGUCAUUCACUA
Molecule: long non-coding RNA, 3081 nt
Organism: Dromaius novaehollandiae (emu)
Lineage: Eukaryota; Metazoa; Chordata; Aves; Casuariiformes; Dromaiidae
Exons: 4
Source: RefSeq, a predicted model, not a curated record